GACUGGAGUUGAGACAUGUGCAUUUCCUAUCUGAUACGUCCUCUAUCUGAGGACAAUAUAUUAAAUGGAUUUUUGGAGCAGGGAGUUGGAAUAGGAACUUGCUCUGUCCAGU
Vicugna pacos (alpaca) is the source of this 112-nucleotide non-coding RNA. The record is from RefSeq and is a predicted model, not a curated record. NCBI's taxonomy places the organism in Eukaryota, Metazoa, Chordata, Mammalia, Artiodactyla, Camelidae.